GAAACAAUAGCUAAUACCGGAUAUAGUUAUUUAUCGCAUGAUGAGUAAUAGAAAGGAGCUUCACAGCUUCACUUAAAAAUGGGGGUGCGGAACAUUAGUUAGUUGGUAGGGUAAUGGCCUACCAAGACGAUGAUGUUUAGCCGGGCCGAGAGGCUGUACGGCCACACUGGGACUGAGAUACGGCCCAGACUCCUACGGGAGGCAGCAGUAAGGAAUUUUCCACAAUGAGCGAAAGCUUGAUGGAGCGACACAGCGUGCAGGAUGAAGUUCUUCGGAAUGUAAACUGCUGUUAUAAGGGAAGAAAAAAUAGAAUAGGAAAUGAUUUUAUCUUGACGGUACCUUAUUAGAAAGCGACGGCAAACUAUGUGCCAGCAGCCGCGGUAAUACAUAGGUCGCAAGCGUUAUCCGGAAUUAUUGGGCGUAAAGCGUCCGUAGGUUUUUUGCUAAGUCUGGAGUUAAAUGCUGAAGCUCAACUUCAGUCCGCUUUGGAUACUGGCAAAAUAGAAUUAUAAAGAGGUUAGCGGAAUUCCUAGUGAAGCGGUGGAAUGCGUAGAUAUUAGGAAGAACACCAAUAGGCGAAGGCAGCUAACUGGUUAUAUAUUGACACUAAGGGACGAAAGCGUGGGGAGCAAACAGGAUUAGAUACCCUGGUAGUCCACGCCGUAAACGAUGAUCAUUAGUUGGUGGAAUAAUUUCACUAACGCAGCUAACGCGUUAAAUGAUCCGCCUGAAUAGUAUGCUCGCAAGAGUGAAACUUAAAGGAAUUGACGGGAACCCGCACAAGCGGUGGAGCAUGUGGUUUAAUUUGAAGAUACGCGUAGAACCUUACCCACUCUUGACAUCUUCUGCAAAGCUAUAGAGAUAUAGUGGAGGUUAACAGAAUGACAGAUGGUGCAUGGUUGUCGUCAGCUCGUGUCGUGAGAUGUUAGGUUAAGUCCUGCAACGAGCGCAACCCUUUUCUUUAGUUACUAAUAUUAAGUUAAGGACUCUAGAGAUACUGCCUGGGUAACCAGGAGGAAGGUGGGGACGACGUCAAAUCAUCAUGCCUCUUACGAGUGGGGCAACACACGUGCUACAAUGGUCGGUACAAAGAGAAGCAAUAUGGUGACAUGGAGCAAAUCUCAAAAAACCGAUCUCAGUUCGGAUUGAAGUCUGCAACUCGACUUCAUGAAGUCGGAAUCGCUAGUAAUCGUAGAUCAGCUACGCUACGGUGAAUACGUUCUCGGGUUUUGUACACACCGCCCGUCACACCAUGGGAGUUGGUAAUGCCCAAAGUCGGUGAGUUAACUUCGGAGACCAUUGCCUAAGGCAGGACUGAUGACUGGGGUGAAGUCGUAACAAGGUAU
This 1346-nucleotide ribosomal RNA is filed under the name uncultured Mycoplasma sp. RNAcentral describes it as "partial 16S ribosomal RNA". It matches the Rfam family "Bacterial small subunit ribosomal RNA", at positions 153 to 1499 of the family's 1533-position model. Lineage: Bacteria; Bacillati; Mycoplasmatota; Mollicutes; Mycoplasmatales; Mycoplasmataceae. The record is from RNAcentral.